AUUGAACGCUGGCGGAAUGCUUUACACAUGUAAGUCGAACGGUAGAGGGGGCAACCCCUCGAGAGUGGCGAACGGGUGAGUAAUAUAUCGGAACGUGCCCAGUCGUGGGGGAUAACGUAGCGAAAGUUACGCUAAUACCGCAUACGAUCUAAGGAUGAAAGCGGGGGAUCGCAAGACCUCGCGCGAUUGGAGCGGCCGAUAUCAGAUUAGGUAGUUGGUGGGGUAAAGGCUCACCAAGCCAACGAUCUGUAGCUGGUCUGAGAGGACGACCAGCCACGCUGGAACUGAGACACGGUCCAGACUCCUACGGGAGGCAGCAGUGGGGAAUUUUGGACAAUGGACGCAAGUCUGAUCCAGCCAUUCCGCGUGCAGGAUGAAGGCCCUCGGGUUGUAAACUGCUUUUGUACGGAACGAAAAGGUCUCUCUUAAUACGGGGGGCUCAUGACGGUACCGUAAGAAUAAGCACCGGCUAACUACGUGCCAGCCGCCGCGGUAA
This 496-nucleotide ribosomal RNA is filed under the name uncultured bacterium. RNAcentral's name for it is "partial 16S ribosomal RNA". It matches the Rfam family "Bacterial small subunit ribosomal RNA", at positions 30 to 523 of the family's 1533-position model. The record is from RNAcentral.